This 485-nucleotide ribosomal RNA is filed under the name uncultured bacterium. Its description in RNAcentral is "partial 16S ribosomal RNA". It matches the Rfam family "Bacterial small subunit ribosomal RNA", at positions 29 to 523 of the family's 1533-position model. The record is from RNAcentral.
AGUGAACGCUGGCGGCGUGCUUAACACAUGCAAGUCGAACGACAACGGAAUAUAGCUUGCUAUAUUUGUCAGCUAAGUGGCGCACGGGUGAGUAAUGUAUAGAUAACCUGCCCUUAAGAAAGGAAUAACAGUUGGAAACGACUGCUAAUGCCCUAUAUGCCUUUAAUACAUAAGUAUGCAAGGGAAACGCUUUAGUGCUUAAGGAUGGGUCUGUAUGGUAUCAGCUUGUUGGUGAGGUAAUGGCUCACCAAGGCUAUGACGCCUAACUGGUUUGAGAGGAUGAUCAGUCACACUGGAACUGAGACACGGUCCAGAUUCCUACGGGAGGCAGCAGUGGGGAAUAUUGCACAACGGACGAAAGUCUGAUGUAGCAACGCCGCGUGGAGGAUGACACAUUUCGGUGCGUAAACUCCUUUUAUAUAGGAAGAUAAUGACGGUACUAUAUGAAUAAGCACCGGCUAACUCCGUGCCAGCAGCCGCGGUAA